Molecule: ribosomal RNA, 398 nt
Filed under: uncultured bacterium
Lineage: Bacteria
Description: partial 16S ribosomal RNA
Rfam family: Bacterial small subunit ribosomal RNA
Source: RNAcentral
AUACGUAGGGUGCGAGCGUUGUCCGGAAUUACUGGGCGUAAAGAGCUCGUAGGUGGUUUGUCGCGUCGUCUGUGAAAUUCCGGGGCUUAACUCCGGGCGUGCAGGCGAUACGGGCAUAACUUGAGUACUGUAGGGGAGACUGGAAUUCCUGGUGUAGCGGUGAAAUGCGCAGAUAUCAGGAGGAACACCGGUGGCGAAGGCGGGGCUCUGGGCAGUAACUUACGCUGAGGAGCGAAAGCAUGGGUAGCGAACAGGAUUAGAUACCCUGGUAGUCCAUGCCGUAAACGGUGGGCGCUAGGUGUAGGGGUCUUCCACGACUUCUGUGCCGUAGCUAACGCAUUAAGCGCCCCGCCUGGGGAGUACGGCCGCAAGGCUAAAACUCAAAGGAAUUGACGGGG